This 86-nucleotide transfer RNA is filed under the name Phycisphaera sp. RNAcentral describes it as "tRNA-Leu". It matches the Rfam family "tRNA". From Rfam's summary of the family: Transfer RNA (tRNA) molecules are approximately 80 nucleotides in length. Their secondary structure includes four short double-helical elements and three loops (D, anti-codon, and T loops). Lineage: Bacteria; Pseudomonadati; Planctomycetota; Phycisphaerae; Phycisphaerales; Phycisphaeraceae. The record is from RNAcentral.
GGGCCUGUGGCGGAAUUGGCAGACGCGGCGGACUUAAAAUCCGCUUCCCCGGAAGGGGGGUGAGGGUUCGAGUCCCUCCGGGCCUA